UCGGAGUGAAAGGCUAAACAAGCCCGGAGAUAGCUGGUUCUCCUCGAAAUCUAUUUAGGUAGAGCCUCGCAUAUCACUGUUGGGGGUAGAGCACUGUUACGGCUAGGGGGUCAUCCCGACUUACCAACCCGUUGCAAACUCCGAAUACCAACAAGUGCAAUUGCGGGAGACACACGGCGGGUGAUAAGUUCCGUUGUGGAAAGGGAAACAGCCCAGACCGUCAGCUAAGGUCCCAAAAUGAUACUCAGUGGAAAACGAUGUGAAAAGGCACAGACAGCCAGGAGGUUGGCUUAGAAGCAGCCAUCCUUUAAAGAAAGCGUAAUAGCUCACUGGUCAAGUCGGUUUGCGCGGAAGAUUUAUCGGGGCUUAAGUAUCAUACCGAAGCUACGGAUGCGUGUUUACACGCAUGGUAGAGGAGCGUUCUGUACGCCUGUGAAGGUGAACCGAGAGGUUUGCUGGAGGUAUCAGAAGUGCGAAUGCUGACAUGAGUAACGAUAAUGGGGGUGAAAAACCCCCACGCCGAAAACCCAAGGUUUCCUGCGCAAUGCUAAUCAGCGCAGGGUUAGUCGGAACCUAAGGCGAGGCCGAAAGGCGUAGUCGAUGGACAACAGGUUAAUAUUCCUGUACCGCGUAUAACUGCGAUGGGGAGACGGAGAAGGCUAGAUCAGCAUACUGUUGGAUAUGUAUGUUUAAGCAUGUAGGGCGAGUUCUUAGGUAAAUCCGGGAGCUCAUUAAACCUGAGAUGUGAUGUCGAGGACUCUACGGAGUCCGGAGUGAUUGAUGCCAUGCUUCCAAGAAAAUCCUCUAAGCUUCAGGUUAUAGGCGUCCGUACCCCAAACCGACACAGGUGGGUGGGAUGAGAAUUCUAAGGCGCUUGAGAGAACUCUGGUGAAGGAACUAGGCAAAAUGGUACCGUAACUUCGGGAGAAGGUACGCCCUCUAGGUGACGCGACUUGCUCGUUGAGCUCAAGAGGGUUGCAAUAAAAUGGUGGCUGCGACUGUUUACUAAAAACAUAGCACUCUGCAAACUCGUAAGAGGAAGUAUAGGGUGUGACGCCUGCCCGGUGCCGGAAGGUUAAUUGAUGGGGUUAUCUUCGGAGAAGCUCUUGAUCGAAGCCCCGGUAAACGGCGGCCGUAACUAUAACGGUCCUAAGGUAGCGAAAUUCCUUGUCGGGU
Molecule: ribosomal RNA, 1176 nt
Filed under: seawater metagenome
Description: bacterial LSU rRNA
Rfam family: Bacterial large subunit ribosomal RNA
Source: RNAcentral